GACGAACGCUGGCGGCGUGCUUAACACAUGCAAGUCGAACGGAAAGGCCCUGCUUUUGUGGGGUGCUCGAGUGGCGAACGGGUGGGUAACACGUGAGUAACCUGCCCUUGACUUUGGGAUAACUUCAGGAAACUGGGGCUAAUACCGGAUAGGAGCUCCUGCUGCAUGGUGGGGGUUGGAAAGUUUCGGCGGUUGGGGAUGGACUCGCGGCUUAUCAGCUUGUUGGUGGGGUAGUGGCUUACCAAGGCUUUGACGGGUAGCCGGCCUGAGAGGGUGACCGGCCACAUUGGGACUGAGAUACGGCCCAGACUCCUACGGGAGGCAGCAGUGGGGAAUAUUGCACAAUGGGCGGAAGCCUGAUGCAGCAACGCCACGUGCGGGAUGACGGCCUUCGGGUUGUAAACCGCUUUCGCCUGUGACGAAGCGUGAGUGACGGUAAUGGGUAAAGAAGCACCGGCUAACUACGUG
Molecule: ribosomal RNA, 468 nt
Filed under: uncultured bacterium
Lineage: Bacteria
Description: partial 16S ribosomal RNA
Rfam family: Bacterial small subunit ribosomal RNA
Source: RNAcentral